UGUUUUUAGAAUCGGUUAAAACCCCUGCGUGUCCCUUUGCCAUUGGGUAUAUAAUUUUCCAUGUCUUUCUUCAUCGCUCUUCCUAGAUGUUCCAAGGAAUCAAUCCCUCUUUCUCCUCCAAUCCCAAUCACUCCAUCUUCUCUCUAGCUUAUGAUCUCCAUAUCCUUCUCUUUCAGAGAGGUUGAUGUCUGGCGUUGGAGUAAUCGUUUCGGAUCCAUGACUACAAAGCCAGUUCAUGCAAGUCGAGCUUCGUUCUCUCAAGUUUGCGGCGUUUACGUUAGAGGAUCUUCCACUUGUGUUGGUGAAGUCACUCACCUCUGCGUUCAAGGAGAAAGAAAUCAGAGAGAUCUUACCAUAUUUGGCUUCUGAUUACGCAGCCUACGAUGAUCUCGAUUUCGAAUCGUUUCUCACGCUAAUCUAGCAAGAGCUUCACUGGAUUCUGGAACACAGCAGCAAGAUCCUAGCAAGCAAACUCAAUGUUUCACAUACCGAGAACUCGCCACCGCAACUAACAAUUUCAGGCUCGAAUCUAUGAUCGGACAUGGUGGCUUCGGUUCUGUUUUCAAAGGAAAGUUAGUGUUUCCUCCUGGACAGAACAGGAUUAUCGGAGAGCAAGAGGGGUUUUUAGUGGGGUUUUUAAGGGGGGGAGGCGGCACAAGAAGGAAAAAACCGGUCGCAGAAAGCCCAGAUUAAGGAUCGACUAUUGUUGGGGUGUUGGACUUUUCGCGGGCCCCACUGACACGUGGCGGCCCGCGGUUGGUGCAUUUUUUUAAUUUUUUUUUAACCAAGAAAAAAAAAAUUUUAAAAAAAAAUUUAAGAAACCCAUUAAGGAUUUUAUGGGAUAAUCAUGGUCUUAGUUUUCCAUAGAAUUGUAAGGGCAUCAUUAACCCCGGUCUCUUAGUCGGAUUCUUAACUCAUGAUUUGACUUUUUUUUUUUUUUUUACACUUUUCGGAUAAGAGACGGUUUUUAUAUCUCUUAUUUAAGAGACGGUUCUUAAUUUUUUUUAGUUAAAAUCUAAAAAACGGUAAGAACCGUUUCUUAGUCAAAAAAAGCUAAGAGACUGAGGUUAAUGAUGGUCUAUCAGCUUACUUGGUGAACAAUGUUUUCAUAAGUAUAUGUCUACGAGAGUAAUAGAAACCUUUAUUUAAAAACUAAAAGGUAACUGUGACAUGACAUCUAAAGAAAUUUGGAUGCAUACACGAGUUGCUCUAUCUUUCCUUAACGUAAAAGGCACGACCACAUAAAGACACAGAAAGCCUCCAUGAAAUAUUGAAAUGAUUGAGAUUCUCCCACGGCUUUUAUUUCCUUCUUUUUCUCUCUACAAAUUAAAACUUUCUUCUCUUAAAAGGCCAAUUAUAUAUUUGAUUCUUCAUGUCGUCUAUGACAUUAACACAUUUAGACAGUUUUUCUACUCUGCUUAUCCAGUAGUAGUCUUUUAUUACAACUCACAGACCAACCGGACCUCGUGGUCUGGUGGUAAAGGAACCUCAGCUGAGAUGCCCGCCAUCACGAAUUCAAACUCCGGCCACAGCGGAUUUAAUAUGGUUUCCGUUUGGUUUCCAGGACCUUCCUCGCCAGUUCCGAUUGGAUGCGGUAGGAUAGUCGGACUAAGUGAGAAGUCCGGAUACCUGGAUUAUUAAAAAAAAAAACUCACAGACUGUGGUCUGCUAAUUUUUAAUUUGAAUGAUGAUACAGAUUUAUAACACUAAAACUUUGGUUAGUCUCCAAUCUUUCACAUAAUAACCAAAAAUAUAUAUGAAACUUAAGCUAAGAAAUAAGUAAGGGAUAUUGUUCAAUACAUUCCUCUAGUUUGAUGCUCUUUUUAUUUAUAUAAUAAAAGAUGUCCAACUAUUAUAAAAUAAAUGUGGAAAAGCUGCUUUUGUGGAAGGAAAACAACUAAGCUUUUCAUAGGAUGAAAGUUUAUAAAGCAAUUUGAGGUGUUGAUUCUUGUACUCGUACUAGUUUUAUAGUAUA
This is a long non-coding RNA of Brassica napus (rape), 1975 nucleotides long. RefSeq lists it as uncharacterized. The transcript has 4 exons. The record is from RefSeq and is a predicted model, not a curated record. NCBI's taxonomy places the organism in Eukaryota, Viridiplantae, Streptophyta, Magnoliopsida, Brassicales, Brassicaceae.